RNAcentral lists this non-coding RNA (247 nucleotides) under Desulfitobacterium hafniense. RNAcentral's name for it is "T-box sequence". It matches the Rfam family "T-box leader". Rfam says of the family: Uncharged tRNA acts as the effector for transcription antitermination of genes in the T-box leader family. The record is from RNAcentral. Lineage: Bacteria; Bacillati; Bacillota; Clostridia; Eubacteriales; Desulfitobacteriaceae.
UCUAAACUGUUGAUGGGGAAGUAAAACCGCAAGACCAGCUUUAAAGAGAGCCGGGGAAGGUGGAAGCCUGGCAAGUAACGGAGCGGGUAAAUGGGCCCCUGAGGGCGGAGCGAAAAGCAAUGAGUAGCUUACGACGCAUAGCCAGCGUUAUUGGGCUAAGGGUGUGAUGGCACCCUGCAAGAGAGGAUGUAUGGUUUAUUCAUGCAUCAAUUAAGGUGGUACCGCAGGUUAUACGCCUGUCCUUAAG